RNAcentral lists this ribosomal RNA (233 nucleotides) under uncultured bacterium. RNAcentral's name for it is "partial 16S ribosomal RNA". It matches the Rfam family "Bacterial small subunit ribosomal RNA", at positions 103 to 334 of the family's 1533-position model. The record is from RNAcentral.
CGGGUGAGCAACGCGUGAGGAACCUGCCUCAAAGAGGGGGACAACAGUUGGAAACGACUGCUAAUACCGCAUAAGCCCACGGCUCGGCAUCGAGCAGAGGGAAAAGGAGCAAUCCGCUUUGAGAUGGCCUCGCGUCCGAUUAGCUAGUUGGUGAGGUAACGGCCCACCAAGGCGACGAUCGGUAGCCGGACUGGGAGGUUGAACGGCCACAUUGGGACUGAGACACGGCCCAG